Molecule: ribosomal RNA, 465 nt
Filed under: uncultured bacterium
Lineage: Bacteria
Description: bacterial SSU rRNA
Rfam family: Bacterial small subunit ribosomal RNA
Source: RNAcentral
GUGAACGCUGGCGGCGUGCUUAACACAUGCAAGUCGAACGGUAACAGGAAGUAGCUUGCUACUUUGCUGACGAGUGGCGCACGGGUGAGUAAUCUAUAGUUAAUGUGCCUCGAAGACUGGGAUAGCCACUGGAAACGGUGAUUAAUACUAGAUACACCUUUUUAGCAUAAGCUAGAUCGGGAAACGUCUUUUCGCUUCGAGAUCAGACUAUAUCCUAUCAGUUAGUUGGUGAGGUAAUGGCUCACCAAGGCAAUGACGGGUAGCGGUUCUGAGAGGAUGAUCCGCCACACUGGUACUGAGACACGGACCAGACUCCUACGGGAGGCAGCAGUGAGGAAUAUUGCACAAUGGGGGGAACUCUGAUGCAGCAACGCCGCGUGGAGGAUGACGCAUUUCGGUGUGUAAACUCCUUUUAAGAGGGAAGAUAAUGACGGUAGCUUAUGAAUAAGCACCGGCUAACUCCGU